This 484-nucleotide ribosomal RNA is filed under the name uncultured bacterium. RNAcentral's name for it is "partial 16S ribosomal RNA". It matches the Rfam family "Bacterial small subunit ribosomal RNA", at positions 30 to 507 of the family's 1533-position model. The record is from RNAcentral.
AUUGAACGCUGGCGGCAUGCUUUACACAUGCAAGUCGAACGGUAACAGGGAGCUUGCUCCGCUGACGAGUGGCGAACGGGUGAGUAAUAUAUCGGAACGUACCCAAGAGUGGGGGAUAACGUAGCGAAAGUUACGCUAAUACCGCAUACGAUCUAUGGAUGAAAGCAGGGGACCUUCGGGCCUUGUGCUCCUGGAGCGGCCGAUAUCUGAUUAGCUAGUUGGUGAGGUAAAGGCUCACCAAGGCGACGAUCAGUAGCUGGUCUGAGAGGACGACCAGCCACACUGGAACUGAGACACGGUCCAGACUCCUACGGGAGGCAGCAGUGGGGAAUUUUGGACAAUGGGCGCAAGCCUGAUCCAGCAAUGCCGCGUGAGUGAAGAAGGCCUUCGGGUUGUAAAGCUCUUUUGUCAGGGAAGAAACGGCUGUGGCUAAUAUCCACGGCUAAUGACGGUACCUGAAGAAUAAGCACCGGCUAACUACGUG